RNAcentral lists this ribosomal RNA (771 nucleotides) under uncultured bacterium. Its description in RNAcentral is "bacterial SSU rRNA". It matches the Rfam family "Bacterial small subunit ribosomal RNA", at positions 666 to 1436 of the family's 1533-position model. The record is from RNAcentral.
AUUCCUGGUGUAGCGGUGGAAUGCGCAGAUAUCAGGAGGAACACCGAUGGCGAAGGCAGGUCUCUGGGCAGUAACUGACGCUGAGGAGCGAAAGCAUGGGGAGCGAACAGGAUUAGAUACCCUGGUAGUCCAUGCUGUAAACGGUGGGCGUUAGGUGUGGGGACCGGUUUGGUUUCUGUGCCGUAGCUAACGCAUUAAGCGCCCCGCCUGGGGAGUACGGCCGCAAGGCUAAAACUCAAAGGAAUUGACGGGGGCCCGCACAAGCGGCGGAGCAUGUGGAUUAAUUCGAUGCAACGCGAAGAACCUUACCUGGGUUUGACAUGCACCAGACGGUUGUAGAGAUACGUACCUCCCUUUGUGGUUGGUGUGCAGGUGGUGCAUGGUUGUCGUCAGCUCGUGUCGUGAGAUGUUGGGUUAAGUCCCGCAACGAGCGCAACCCUUGUCUUAUGUUGCCAGCACUUUGGGUGGGGACUCAUGAGAGACUGCCGGGGUUAACUCGGAGGAAGGUGGGGAUGACGUCAAAUCAUCAUGCCCUUUAUGCCCAGGGCUUCACACAUGCUACAAUGGUUAGUACAACGCGCUGCGAACCUGUGAGGGUGAGCGAAUCGCUGAAAGCUAAUCUCAGUUCGGAUUGGGGUCUGCAACUCGACCCCAUGAAGUCGGAGUCGCUAGUAAUCGCAGAUCAGCAAUGCUGCGGUGAAUACGUUCCCGGGCCUUGUACACACCGCCCGUCACGUCAUGAAAGUUGGUAACACCCGAAGCCCAUGGCCU